GACGAACGCUGGCGGCGUGCUUAACACAUGCAAGUCGAACGGAAAGGCCCUGCUUUUGUGGGGUGCUCGAGUGGCGAACGGGUGUGUAACACGUGAGUAACCUGCCCUUUACUUUGGGAUAACUUCAGGAAACUGGGGCUAAUACCGUAUAGGAUCUCCUGCUGCAUGGUGGGGGUUGGUAAGUUUCGGCGGUUGGGGAUGGACUCGCGGCUUAUCAGCUUGUUGGUGGGGUAGUGGCUUACCAAGGCUUUGACGGGUAGCCGGCAUGAGAGGGUGAACGGCCACAUUGGGACUGAGAUACGGCCCAGACUGCUACGGGAGGCAGCAGUGGGGAAUAUUGCACAAUGGGAGGAAGCCUGAUGCAGCAACGCCGCGUGCGGGAUGACGGCCUUCGGGUUGUAAACAGCUUUCGCCUGUGACGAAGAGUGAGUGACGGUAAUGGGUAAAGAAGCACCGGCUAACUACGUG
This 468-nucleotide ribosomal RNA is filed under the name uncultured bacterium. RNAcentral describes it as "partial 16S ribosomal RNA". It matches the Rfam family "Bacterial small subunit ribosomal RNA", at positions 28 to 507 of the family's 1533-position model. The record is from RNAcentral.